RNAcentral lists this long non-coding RNA (22715 nucleotides) under Cucumis sativus (cucumber). Its description in RNAcentral is "long non-coding RNA (CSAT_LNC003088)". Lineage: Eukaryota; Viridiplantae; Streptophyta; Magnoliopsida; Cucurbitales; Cucurbitaceae. The record is from RNAcentral.
AAUGAUAAAAGAGGCAAAAGUCCUUCAACAUUUGAAAACACUCUAUUUAUAGCCUAAUUACAUGCAAAAAUGCAUGCAAUUCAAUUGCCAAAUCUCAACACCUAAUAUUCCACUAACAAUUAGUGGAACUUAGUGGGCUAGGUGUCUAUAUCUCAUAUAGCCACAUAUCCCACUAAGAGUUAGUGGGAUUAUCCAACAAAAUGUUGGAUUUUCCCACUAACUUAGUCCAAGGGUAAAAUGGUCAUUAGAUUUUUCUAGUCAAAAGUCAAAUUGACUUUUCUGUCAAAAGUCAAAUUGACUUUUCUAAGUCAAAAGUCAAUAUUUUGACUUUUUACCAUUUUGUCCGUCUUGACUAAUUCCAACCUCCCGAGCAUGAAUCCGCAUUCAUUUUUCCAAAAUUCAAAUCACAUUUGAAUAUAAGGCCGGUCAAAGUUUGACUUUUCAAAGUCAAAAGUCAACAUUUUGACUUUUUACUAUUUUUGACCAAUUCCGAGCUUCUUAGUAUGAAUCCGCAUUCAUACUUAUAGUAUGUAAACAUAAAGCUCUAUUUCUAAUUAGAAGACCGACGACUAUAUCACUGUAUUGUCGGUUUCCUUUCUUCUCCCAAUUCGAACAAUUCGACUUAUUUCAUCACACUGUUCUAAGUUUAAUCCAUAUGAGCUAGCAGAGGAACCUAAUGGACCUAUAGAUCAUGGGCUCCAACGAUUCAAGAUUAACUAGCUAAACUCUUUUAAACCGAGUUAAUCAACAUUCGUUAACUAACGGGUCAUUCCACUAAAGUCCCGUAGUUGCACUCCCCUCACUAUAGAUAUAUUUGUGUCCAUUUGAUAAAACCAUAAUCAGUAAGUUAAUCCUUCACAGGUUGCUCGUAACCUUGGCUGGGUCAAAAUACCGUUUUACCCCCAAGAUUACAUCUUGCUCCUUAAGUCCCACUAAUCCACUAUUGAACAAUUGGUUUAAGGUUCAACCUAUAAACUUAAUCCCUCUCGGGCCAAUGAGAGGGUGGGGCCCCUUGUUCAAGACUUGGAUUCAGUGCUUAAGAGAGCAACCUAUCUACUAACCCUAAAGCGGUAGGAGUGAAUUCCAUCUUGUACCCUAUGUUCCCAGCUAUCCACCCGAUCUUACCCCUGAAAUGGGAGGCUUAUUGGGCCAACGCUGAUGAGCUGCCCUCACCUAUGCAGAUCUAAGGAUAAUCUCGUGUGAACAGGAGUUCAUAGUUAACUCAGGAUUAAGACUAAGUUACCUAGGUCAUCAAUAAUUGAGAUAGUCAGUUUUAAACAGUAAACGGUGUUAUAACGUAAAAAUGACUAUUCAUGGUUCAGUCUUAUGUAAACAUUUUACAUAGGAUGCCCCCACUUUCAUGUCUCUACAUGAACGAUUAGGAUCACCUCGUUUGUACUACAAAGUGGGCCGCAUCCAUAGUUUCUCUAAAUAAGGCGCCCAACCUUUAUUUCAUAUACUAUAGACUAUUUAGGCUAUAUACUCGAACUUGAUCCACGUUUAUGUUUACACAUAAAGUUCAAGUUUAUUAAAAAAUAGCCUUGGAACUUGAUUUAUUGGAUUUAAGAUUAUAAUAUUUAAUUUCUCAAUAACAACUUUAUUGAACAGAAUAUGAUUUACAAACUACGAGUUUUAGGACAAAAAUUCCAACAAACUCCCACUUGGACUAAAAUUCCUAGUGGUAUGAGAGAUGUGGUGUGAGAGAAUAUAAAACUAGGGCACAUGGCCAAUAAGUCUCCCACUUGUCCUAGUUUACAAACAUCGUAGACCUAAACUGUGUAGGUGACCCUCAAACACUUUAGCCGUGAGAGCUUUUGUAAAAGGAUCAGCAAUGUUUUGCUGAGAAGAAAUCUGGGUUACUACAACGUCACCACGAUGUACAAUUUCCCUGAUAAGAUGGUACUUGCGUUCAAUAUGCUUUCCUCUUUUAUGGCUUCUAGGUUCUCUUGAAUUUGCAACUGCACCACUGUUGUCACAGUAUAAAGUGAUUGGUAGAUGCAUAUUUGGAACGACUUCCAAAUCUGUCAAGAAUUUUCUUAGCCAUACUGCUUCUUUUGCUGCUUCACAAGCCGCUACGUAUUCAGCUUCCAUUGUGGAAUCAGCUAUACAAGUUUGCUUUAUGCUUCUCCAAACUACUGCUCCUCCAUUUAGAGUAAAUACUGAUCCUGAUGUAGACUUUCUAGCAUCUUUAUCAGUUUGGAAAUCUGAAUCAGUGUAUCCAGUAAGGAUCAGAUCCUUUGUACCAUACAUGAGCAUGUAGUCUUUUGUUCUUCGAAGAUAUUUUAGAAUGUUUUUAACGGCUGUCCAGUGAUCACGUCCAGGAUUGGAUUGAUACCUACUGACCAUCCCUACUGAGUAGCAAAUGUCAGGUCUAGUACAUAACAUUGCAUACAUUAAACUUCCAACAGCGGAAGCAUAGGGAAUAUUUCUCAUAUCCUCAACUUCUUGAGGUGUCUUAGGACAUUGUUCCUUUGACAAAUGAAUUCCAUAUCUGUACGGCAGCAGACCCUUUUUGGAAUUCUGCAUUUUAUAUCUAGACAACAUUUUGUCUAUGUAAGAUGCUUGAGACAUGGCUAGUGUUUUGUUCUUACGGUUUCGAACAAUUUGGAUUCCGAGAACGUAUUGUGCAUCUCCCAGAUCUUUCAUUUGAAAUUGCAUAGCUAGCCAUUUCUUGAUAUCAGUAAGAUAUCCUACGUCAUUUCCAAUAAGUAGAAUAUCAUCUACAUAUAAGACUAAAAAUGCUAUAAUGGAAUUGACGACCUUUUUGUAAACACAAGGCUCGUCAACAUUUUGUUCAAAGCCAUAAGAUUUGAUCGCAGUAUCAAAUCUUAUAUUCCAGGAUCUAGAAGCUUGUUUUAAUCCAUAAAUGGAUUUUUUAAGCUUACAAACCUUUUGUUCUUGAUCUUGUUCUAUAAACCCCUCUGGUUGAGACAUAUAGAUACUCUCUUCAAGAUUACCAUUCAAAAAAGCUGUCUUGACAUCCAUCUGCCAAAUUUCAUAAUCAUAAAAAGUGGCGAUGGAUAAGAGUAUUCUAAUUGACUUUAACAUGGCAACAGGAGAGAAAGUUUCCUCAUAGUCUACUCCCUCUCUCUGGGUAUAACCCUUUGCCACAAGUCGAGCCUUGAAAGUCUGUACUUUACCGGCAUGGUCUCGUUUUCUCUUGUAGAUCCAUUUACAACCAAUAGGUUUUACGUCAUUUGGUUGAUCUACUAGAGUCCAGACAGAAUUAAAGUACAUAGACUCCAUUUCGAGGUCCAUGGCUUUGAUCCAUUGGUCACGAUCUACAUCUUUCAUUGCCUGUUUAUAGGUUAAUGGAUCCUCUAUGCCAUCGUCAGGUAUGACGACUUGAGUUUCAAUUAAACCCAAAUAGCGAUCAGGCUGAUGAACAACCCUCCCACUACGUCGAGGCUCUCUCAACUGUUGAGAAGGAUGUGAUUGUCCAGAUUUCCUAGUCUUAUCAACUACCUUAGUGGAUGAACUAGGUUUAUCUAUAGCACUUUUGGAAAUUUCUUUUAAUACUAGUUUACUACGAGGUUGAUGAUCCCUGAUGUGGUCUUCCUCUAAGAAUGUGGCAUUUGUUGACACAAAUAUUUUAUUUUCUUGAGGAUCAUAAAACAAACCACCUCUUGAUUCUUUUGGAUAACCUAUAAAAAAGCAUAAUUUUGAACGAUGUUCCAAUUUCUUUGGAUUUUGUACCAACACGUGUGCUGGACAACCCCAAAUUCUAAAAUGACGUAAACUGCCUUUACGCCCUUUCCAUAGCUCAUAAGGUGUUUCUGAAACACUUUUAGAGGGAACAUUAUUCAAAAUAUAAGCAGCUGUUUCUAAAGCAUAUCCCCAAAAAGAAUCUGACAUCUGAGAAAAACUCAUCAUAGAGCGAACCAUGUCUAACAAGGUCCGGUUUCUUCUUUCUGAUACACCGUUCUGUUGAGGUGUACUAGGUGCAGAGAGUUGUGACUGGAUUCCAUUUUCUAUUAAAUAGUCUCGGAAUCGUAAGUCCAUAUACUCUCCACCUCGAUCUGAUCGAAGUAUUUUUAUUGUUUUACCUAAUUCGUUUUCUACUUCAGCCUUAUAUUCUUUGAACUUUUCAAGACUAUUAGACUUAUGAUGUAUUAGGUAAAUAUGACCAUACCUUGAAUAAUCAUCAAUGAAGCUAAUGAAAUAUUCAUAUCCACCUCGAGCUUUGACAUUCAUUGGUCCACAAAGGUCCGAAUGUACGAGCUCUAAGGGUCCUUUGGCUCUUAGACCUUUUCCAGUAAAAGAUCUCUUGGUCAUUUUUCCUUCAAGACAAGAUUCACAAGGAGGUAAAGAGUUAUCUUCUAACGGACUUAGAAGCCCACUUUUAACCAAUCUCCCAAUCCUAUUGAGAUUUAUGUGACCAAGUCUUAAGUGCCAUAAAUAGGCAUUAGAAGAAACUUUUUGUCUUUUAUUCUGAGUUUCAGCUGUUCUGAAUAUUUCAGUAUUUAAGACAAAAUUUGCUCUAGUUGGUCUUAACUUAUAUAAGUUGUCUUCAAGUAUAGCAGAACAAACUAGAAUACCUUUAUAGAAAACGAACGCUUCAUUAAUUUUCAAAAGAUAUUCUAUACAUUUGUUCCAAAAUACAAGAGAUAGAUAUUAAAUUUCUUUUCAUUUGAGGUACAUAUAAGACAUUCUUAAGUAUGACAUAUCUAUCUCUAAAAAACAACUUUAAAUCUCCCACUGCUGAAGCUGAGACCAUCUCUCCUGUUCCAACCUUGAGAGUGAUCUCGCCUUCUGAAAGCUUUUUCCAAGAACUAUUUUCCUGAAAUGAGAAGCAAAUAUGGUUAGUGGCUCCUGAAUCUAGUAUCCAGGUACAAUUUUCAUAUUCCACUAAACAUGUUUCUACAACUAGUAAAUCAUAUUUACCUUGUGUUUCCUUCUCUGCCUUUUUUUCUGCAAGGUAUUUUGGGCAGUUUCUUAACCAGUGCCCGUUUUGGCCACAAUGGUAACACUUACCUUUUUCUGCACCUUUCUUACCCUUGUUCUGUUUGGGAGUCUUUCCCUUUCCCUUCUUUUUUAUUUGAGCAUUAGGUUUUGAGGGUCCAGCUUUGGUUUUAGAGGACGAUCCUCUUAUAAAUUUUCUUUUUGUGGUAGCAACAUUUGCUUCCACUUGUUUUCCUUUACCCAUAGUAAGGUUUUGGAAUCGCUGGAGUUCAUUCAGAAGGGUUGUCAAGUUAAAUUCUAUCUUGUUCAAAGACGCAUUCGUUUGGAAUGGAAUGAAGCUCUUCGGAAGAGACUCUAAGAUAAAACUAACUUGAUUAACCUCUUCGAUGGGACCACCAUUCACUUCAGCGAUGUUGAAGUGCAUCAUCAUGUCCAGAACAUGUUCUCUAACAGAGGUCCCUUCCUUCAUACGCUUAGUGUAAAUGUAUUUGACUGCCUCGUGUCUUAAGGACCAUUCUGGUUGCCCAAACAUUCCCCUUAAUGAAUCCAUAAUCUCUUUAGCCGUGGCUAAGGAUUCAUGUUUCUUUGCCAAUACAUCAGACAUGCUGGCAAGAAUGUAGACACGGGCUUUUUCAUUAGCUUUUAUCCAUCGAUCAUAUGCAUCCCGACUAGUUCGGUUAGCAUUAGAGGCAGGGUUUUGAGGACAUUCCUCAGUUAAGACAAAUCUUAAAUCGUCAACCACUAGUAUUGUGUUAAGAUUUGAUUUCCAAGCCGCAUAAUUAUCGCCAUUAAGUUUUUCGGAAGCUAAAAGUUGAACUAUUGAGCUAUUCAUGCUGAAAAACAAACAUAUUCUUUUUAGGAAAAAACUAUAAUCAUAAAAAAUAUCCAAUCUAAUUUAGCAAUUACUAAUAAUGUACCCUUUCAUUAUUUGUAUUUUGCAACAAUAUUUCAAAGGUUUAGAACAACCUUCUCCGAAGGGUAGUUGAUUAUUCCUCCUUUGAACCAAGACAAUCUUGACUAGAUGCUAUCUCUAGAAUAACUGCUUAUUCUUUAUAGCACUUAGUUAUCGCUACUUUAGUCAAGAAUAUACUAACAACUUAGUAAUUCUUGUAAGUGUUACCCACCAUUUUCAGAUUUCAUAGAUUAGAAUCAUUUAUGAAAACUAAUCUAAGAAAACCUAUCCAGAUUUGGAGUUCGCGGUGUUCCGAAUCCUAUAAUACAACCCUCCGAAGGGAACGUCGCUCCAGGGCAGACAAGCAGGCAUAUUAUAGAAAUCUCACGGUGCGACCUAAUGGAAGAGACCGUGGGAUGUGCUGCCACAAAUCCCUCACCCACUUACUAUGAACUACUUCCCCUAUUCACCUUGAUUUUGAUCCAUGCAAACACUCUCCGAAGGGAGGCCGCUCCUAUGCACGGCACAAAGCCCUACAUGGACCUCACGGUGUGAACUCUUAGGGACACUAGAGCUAAAAUACAUUAUUUUUCUCUAGUUGAAGUGUUCUAAAGAAAAAAAAUAGGGUAAUCCAAGCUUCAAGAUUUAUAUUUAGGUUAACUUAAACAAAUCUUAAGUCUAGAUAAACAUCCAAGUAUAACCAUUAUACAGGAUUUUAACUAUGAUGUCUAGGUGAUAAACCAUUUUUAUUACCUCACACCUCUCACGAAAGCUCAUAAAACUAGGUUAACUAGGCUCAAGAACUGAUUACGAUCUCUAGGUAGGAGGUGCUCCGUAAACCGUCAACUUAAGAACCUCCAGCCUUAGUUAUCUUAUCUGACUUGUUGACAAGAUUGAAUCAGGUGAGCCUUUUAUAACCAAUUUUACAAGAUAUCGACCUAUUUCUAUGAAAAAUGGAAGAUAUGUUUAACCUAAGCGAGCAUGCAUUUAAUCUUUGUUAUUGAUUUUAAAAGUCUAAUUUAUUUUAUAACACUUAUAAAACUUUUAGACUUAAUCAAUCAUUUUAUCAAUAUAUAACCUUAUAAAAACAAUCAAUUAAUAUGGAUUUUAAUUAUUUACUUUAAAUUAAAUCAUAUUUAAUUAAAUAAAUCAAAACAAUAAUUAAUAAUUUGAUUAAUCAUAUUUAAUCAAGAAUAACUUAAUUAAUUAAUCAUAUUAAUUAAUUUCCAUAUUAAUCAAUUAACACGCAUACAAUACAAUAUAACCUUUAUAUCAUACAUUUUAAUGUAUGAACAUGUUAACCUAUGGUGGGAUUUUAAAUCUAAUAUGACAUUCAAAAUGCACAUACAAAUUUAAAGUAAUUUAAUCAUACAUCACAUGCAUAAAUAAAAACACCCUAAAAUGGACUGAUUUUGGCUCCUAAAUUAAGCUAAGUACUAAAUUAUUACAUAAUUAAUUUGGUGUAGUACGGAACCACUCCCAAAAACUUCGAACCGGCUGAAAAACCAACCGAAACCGCUUGAACCGACCCAAAAACCAAAUUUAUUGGCUUGAACCGGCCGAAUUAACUAAACAGGCCCAAGCGCACACGGGUCGGGCGCAGGCGGGUCGCGAAGCGGGUCAAGGCCGGGUUUUCGGGUCUGUGACCUUCUUUUCUUCAUUUUUUUCAAUUCUCUCACCCGGUUGAACCAAUUACAGCCUAACUUCAACUCUAAUGACUUUUUUUUAUUUUAAAAAAAUACAAACACUUUGCAACAAUAAAAAUAAGCCAUUAACAAGGCUAAAUACAAUAAUUAGAACAAAAACACUUAAUCUAGAGCCAAAAUCAUAAUAUAUCCAUUUUAGUUCAAACCAAAAUUUAUCUAAUAAAUAUGAACCCACCACAUGCAAUUGGGUAAAAAUGAAGCAUGCUCUGAUACCACAUGAUAGAACUCAGUCAUGCACAGCGGAAAAAGAAUCGAAUUUCUACCCUAAUUGCCACAAUUAACAUGUAACCAUAAAACUAAUCAAAUUAGGGUUUUAAGAAAUAUUACCUUUGAAGCUUUCAAAAGGUUUGAUAUCUUCUUACCAAUUCUAACCGAGACCACCACUAGUACUUCAACUGCUGUCCUCUAGACAAAGAACCGGGUUGUGGGACCCAAUUUUGGUGUAGAAAGUAAUGGAGAUAAAAUGGGAUUGGAAGGUUUCUUUUUUUUUUCCUUUUGUUGAGAUGAUGAAAAUGAUAAAAGAGGCAAAAGUUCUUUAACAUUUGAAAACACCUCUAUUUAUAACUUAAUUACAUGCAAAAAUGCAUGCAAUUCAUUUGCCAAAUCUCAACACCUAAUGUUCCAUUAACAAUUAGUGGAACUAAGAGUUAGUGGGAUUAUCCAACAAAAUGUUGGAUUUUCCCACUAACUUAGUCCAAGGGUAAAAUGGUCAUUAGAUAUUUCUAGUCAAAAGUCAAACUUUGACUUUUCUUAGUCAAAAGUCAAAAGUCAACAUUUUGACUUUUUACUAUUUUUGACCAAUUCCAUCAAUUCCGAGUUUCUUAGUAUGAAUCCGCAUUCAUACUUAUAGUAUGUAAAACAUAAAGCUCUAUUUCUAAUUAGAAGAUCGACGACUAUAUCACUAUAUUUGUCGGUUUCCCUUUCUUCUUCCAAUUCGAACAAUUCGACUUAUUUCAUCACACUGUUCUAAGUUUAAUAUCCAUAUGAGCUAGCAGAGGAACCUGAUGGACCUAUAGAUCAUGGGCUCCAACGAUUCAAGAUUAACUAGCUAAACUCUUUUAAACCGAGUUAAUCAACAUUCGUUAACUAACGGGUCAUUCCACUAAAGUCCCGUAGUUGCACUCCCCUCACUAUAGAUAUACUUGUAUCCAUUGGAUAAAACCAUAAUCAGUAAGUUAAUCCUUCACAGGUUGCUCGUAACCUUGGUUGGGUCAAAAUACCGUUUUACCCCCAAUAUUACAUCUUGCUCCUUAAGUCCCACUAAUCCACUAUUGAACAAUUGGUUUAAGGUUCAACCUAUAAACUUAAUCCCUCUCUGGCCAAUGAGAGGGUGGGGCCCCUUGUUCAAGACUUGGAUUCAGUGCUUAAGAGAACAACCUAUCUACUAACCCUAAAGCGGGUAGGAGUGAAUUCCAUCUUGUACCCUAUGUUCCCAGCUAUCCACCCGAUCUUACCCCUGAUAUGGGAGGCUUAUUAGGCCAACGCUGAUGAGCUGCCCUCACCUAUGUAGAUCUAAGGAUAAUCUAGUGUGAUCAGGAGUUCAUAGUUAACUCAGGAUUAAGACUAAGUUACCUAGGUCAUCAAUAAUUGAGAUAGUCAGUUUUAACAGUAAACGGUGUUAUAACGUAAAAAAGACUAAUUCAUGGUUCAGUCUUAUGUAAACAUUUUACAUAGGAUGCCCCCACUUUCAUGUCUCUACAUGAACGAUUAGGAUCACCUCGUUUGUACUACAAAGUGGGCCGCAUCCAUAGUUUCUCUAAAUAAGGCGCCCAACCUUUAUUCAUAUACUAUAGACUAUUUAGGCUAUAUACUCGAACUUGAUCCACGUUUAUGUUUACACAUAAAGUUCAAGUUUAUUCAAAAAUAGCCUCGGAACUUGAUUUAUUGGAUUUAAAAUUAUAAUAUUUAAUUUCUCAAUAACAACUUUAUUGAACAGAAUAUGAUUUACAAACUACGAGUUUUAGGACAAAAAAUUCCAACACGGAGACCUCGAAAGUUCACGUCUAGCUACUGGGUGGUUCGAUUCUGAGUGGUCUCGAAGUUUCUUGCCCACAGAAGACGAACGGUGAUGCCCCAGACUCGGUUUCUUGGUUCCGUCCAAAACGUCGAAAGAAAGGCACAAUGGCUAGAAAGGAACGACCAGACUUAGAACGGAUCGGAGGCCUCAAAAGUUACACGUCUGGCUACUGGGUGGUCUCGAAGUUUCUUGCCCACAAAAGCCGAACGGUUAUGCCCCAGACUCGAUUUCUUGGUUCCGUCCCAAAACGCCGAAAGAAAGGCACAAUGGCCUAGAAAGGAACGACCGGACUUAGAACGAGGUCGGAGGCCUCGAAAGUUCAAGUCUAGCUACUGGGUGGUCUCGAAGUUUCUUGCCCACAAAAGCCGAACGGUAUGCCCCAGAAUCGGUUUCUUGGUUCCAUCCCAAAAUGCCGAAACAAAGGCACAAUGGCCUAAAAAGGAACGACCUGACUUAAAACGGGGUCGGAGGCCUCGAAAGUUCACGUCUGGCUACUAGGUGGUCCGAUUCUGAGUGGCCUCGAAGUUUCUUUCCCACAAAAGCCGAACGAUGAUGCCCCAGACUCGGUAUCUUGUUUCCGUCCCAAAACGCCGAAAGAAAGGCACAAUGGCCUAGAAAGGAACGACCGGACUUAGAACGGGGUCGGAGGCCUCGAAAGUUCACGUCUGGUGACUGGGUGGUCCGAUUCUCAGUGGUCUCGAAGUUUCUUGCCCCCAAAAGCCGAACGGUGAUGCCCCAGACUCGGUUUCUUGGUUCCGUCCCAAAACGCCGAAAGAAAGGCAGAAUGGCCUAGAAAGCAACGACCGGACUUAGAACGGGAUCGGAGGCCUCGAAAGUUCACGUCUGGCUACUGGGUGGUUCGAUUCUGAGUGGCCUCGAAGUUUCUUGCCCACAAAAGCCGAACGGUGAUGCCCCAGACUCUGUUUCUUGGUUCCGUCCCAAAACGUCGAAAGAAAGGCACAAUGGCCUAGAACGGAACGACCGGACUUAGAACGGGGUCGGAGGCCUUGAAAGUUCACGUCUGGCUACUGGGUGGGCCAAUUCUGAGUGGUCUCGAAGUUUCUUGGCCAAAAAAGCCGAACGGUGAUGCCCCAGACUUGGUUUCUUGGUUCCGUCCCAAAACGACGAAAAAAAGGCACAAUGGCCUAGAAAGGAACGACCGGACUUAGAACGGAAUCGUUGGCCUCGAAAGUUCACGUUCGACUACUAGGUGGUCCGAUUCAGAGUGGCCUCGAAGUUUCUUGCCCACAAAAGCCGAACGGUGAUGCACAGACUCGGUUUCUUGGUUCCGUCCCAAAACGCCGAAAGAAAGGCACAAUGGCCUAGAAAGGAACGACAGUACUUAGAACGGGGUCGGAGGCCUCGAAAGUUCACGUCUUGCUACUGGAUUGUCCGAUUCUGAGUGGCCUCGAAGUUUCUUGCCCACAAAAGCCAAACGGGUGAUGCCCCAGACUCGGUUUCUUGGUUCCGUCCCAAAACGUCGAAAGAAAGGCACAAUGGCCUAGAAAGGAACGACCGAACUUAGAACGAGGUCGGAGGCCUCGAAAGUACACGUCUGCCUACUGAGUGGUCCGAUUCUGAGUGGUCUCGAAGUUUCUUGCCCACAAAAGCUGAACGGUGAUGCCCCUGACUCGGUUUCUUGGUUCCGUCCCAAAACGCCGAAAGAAAGGCACAAUGGCCCAGAAAGGAACGAUCGAACUUAGAACGGAAUCGUUGGCCUCGAAAGUUCACGUUCGGCUACUGGGUGGUCCGAGUCUGAGUGGCCUCGAAGUUUCUUGCCCACAAAAACCGAACGGUGAUGCCCCAGACUCGGUUUCUUGGUUCCGUCCCAAAACGACGAAAGAAAGGCACGAUGGCCUAGAAAGGAACGACCGAACUUAGAACGAGGUCGGAGGCCUCGAAAGUACACGUCUACCUAAUGAGUGGUCCGAUUCUGAGUGGUCUAGAAGUUUCUUGCCCACAAAAGCUGAACGGUGAUGCCCCUGACUCGGUUUCUUGGUUCCGUCCUAAAACGCCGAAAGAAAGGCACAAUGGCCUAGAAAGGAAUGACCGGACUUAGAACGGAAUCGUUGGCCUCGAAAGUUCACGUUCGGCUACUGGGUGGUCCGAUUCUAAGUGGCCUCGAAGUUUCUUGCCCACAAAAGCCGAACGGUUAUGCCCCUGAAUCGGUUUCUUGGUUCCAUCCCAUAACGCCGAAAGAAAGGCACAAUGGCCUAGAAAGGAACGACCGGACUUAGAACGGGGUCGAAGGCCUCGAAAGUUCACGUCUAGCUACUAGGUGGUCUCGAAGUUUCUUGCCCACAAAAGCCGAACGGUGAUGCCCCAGACUCGGUUUAUUGGUUCCGUACCAAAACGCCGAAAGAAAGGCACAAUGGCCUAGAAAGGAACGACCAAACUUAAAACGGGGUCGAAGGCCUCGAAAGUUCACGUCUAGCUACUGGGUGGUCCAAUUCUGAGUGGUCUCGAAGUUUCUUGCCAACAAAAGCCGAACGGUGAUGCCCAAGACUCGGUUUCUUGGUUCCGUCCCAAAACGCCGAAAAAAAGGCACAAUGGCCUAGAAAGGAACGACCGUACUUAGAACGUGGUCGGAGGCCUCGAAAGUUCACGUCUUGCUACUUGGUGGUCUCGAAGUUUCUUGCCCACAAAAGCCGAACGGUUAUGCCCCAGACUCGGUUUCUUGGUUCCGUCUCAAAACGCCGAAAGAAAGGCACAAUGGCCUAGAAAGGAACGACAGGACUUAGAACGGGGUCGGUGGCCUCGAAAGUUCACGUAUUGCUACUUGGUGGUCUCGAAGUUUCUUGCCCACAAAAGCCGAACGGUUAUGCCCCAGAAUCGGUUUCUUGGUUCCAUCCCAUAACGCCGAAAGAAAGGCACAAUUGCCUAGAAAGGAACGACCGAACUUAGAACAGGGUCGAAGGCCUCGAAAGUUCACGUCUAGCUACUAGGUGGUCUCGAAGUUUCUUGCCCACAAAAGCCGAACGGUGAUGCCCCAGACUCGGUUUCUUGGUUCCGUCCCAAAACGCCGAAAGAAAGGCACAAUGGCCUAGGAAGGAACGAUCAGACUUAGAACGGGGUCGGAGGCCUCGAAAGUUCACGUCUAGCUACUGGGUGGUCUGACUCUGAGUGGUCUUGAAUUUUCUUGCCUACAAAAGCCGAACGGUGAUGCCCGAGACUCGGUUUCUUGGUUCCGUCCCAAAACGCCGAAAGAAAGGCACAAUGGCCUAGAAAGGAACGACCGGACAUAGAACGGGGUAGGAGGCCUCGAAAGUUCACGUUUGGCUAGUGGGUUGUCUGAUUCUGAGUGGUCUCGAUGUUUCUUGCCCACAAAAGCCAAACGGUGAUGCCCAAACUCGGUUUCUUGGUUCCGUCCCAAAACGACAAAAGAAAGGCACAAUGGCCUAGAAAGGAACGACCGGACUUAGAACGGGGUCGGAGGCCUCAAAAGUUCACGUCUGGCUACUGGGUCGUCUGAUUCUGAGUGAUCUCGAAGUUUCUUGCCCACAAAAGCCGAACGGUGAUGCCCCAGACUCGGUUUCUUGGUUCCGUCCCAAAACGGCAAAAGAAAGGCACAAUGGCCUAGAAACAAACGACCAGACUUAGAACGGGGUCGAAGGCCUCGAAAGUUCACGUCUAGCUACUGGGUGGUCUCGAAGUUUCUUGCCCACAAAAGUCGAACGGUGAUGCCCAAGACUCGGUUUCUUGGUUCCGUCCAAAAACGCCGAAAGAAAGGCAUAAUGAUCUAGAAAGGAACGACCAGACUUAGAACGAUGCCGGAGGCCUCGAAAUUCACGUCUAGCUAAUAGGUGGUCUCGAAGUUUCUUGCCCACAAAAGCCGAACGGUGAUGCCCCAGACUCAGUUUCUUGGUUCCGUCCCAAAACGGCAAAAGAAAGGCACAAUGGCCUAGAAACAAACGACCAGACUUAGAACGGGGUCGAAGUCGAAAGUUCACGUCUAGCUACUGGUGGUCUCGAAGUUUCUUGCCCACAAAAGUCGAACGGUGAUGCCCCAGACUCGUUUCUUGUUCCGUCCAAAAAAACGCCGAAAGAAAGAAAGGCAUAAUGAUCUAGAAAGGAACGACCAGACUUAGAACGGGGCCGGAGGCCUCGAAAGUUCACGUCUAGCUAAUAGGUGGUCUCGAAGUUUCUUGCCCACAAAAGCCGAACGGUGAUGCGCCAGACUCGGUUUCUUGGUUCCGUCCAAAAACGGCAAAAGAAAGGCACAAUGGCCUAGAAACAAACGACCAGACUUAGAACGGGGUCGAAGGCCUCGAAAGUUCACGUCUAGCUACUGGGUGGUCCGAUUCUGAGUGGUCUCGAAGUUUCUUGCCCACAAAUGCCGAACGGUGAAGCCCCAGGCUCGGUUUCUUGGUUCCGUCCCAAAACGCCGAAAGAAAGGCACAAUGGCCUAGAAAGGAACGACCGGAUUUGGAACGGGGUCGGAGGCCUCGAAAGUUCACGUCUAGCUAUUAGGUGGUCCGAUUCUGAGUGGUCUCGAAGUUUCUUACCCACAAAACCCGAACGAUGAUGCCCCAAACUCGGUUUCUUGGUUCUGUCCCAAAACGCCAAAACAAAGUCACAAUGGCCUAGAAAGGAACAACCGGACUUAGAACGGGGUCGGAGGAUUCGAAAGUUCACGUCUGGCUACUGGGUGGUCCGAUUCUGAGUGGUCUCAAAGUUUCUUGCCCACAAAAGCCGAACGGUGAUGCCCCAGACUCGGUUUCUUGGUUCCGUCCCAAAACGCCGAAACAAAGGCACAAUUGCCUAGAAAGGAACGACCGGACUUGGAACUGGGUCGGAGGCCUCGAAAGUUCACGUCCACCUACUGGGUGGUCCGAUUCUGAGUGGUCUCGAAGUUUCUUGCCCACAAAAGCCGAACGGUGAUGCCCUAGACUCGGUUUCUUGGUUCCGUUCCAAAACGCCAAAAGAAAGGCACAAUGGCCUAGAAAGGAACGACCGAACUUGGAACGGGGUCGGAGGCCUCGAAUGUUCACGUCUUGCUACUGGGUAGUCCGAUUCUUAGUGGUCUCGAAAUUUCUUCCCAAAAAAGCCGAACGGUGAUGUCCCAGACUCGGUUUCCUGGUUUCGUCCCAAAACGCCGAAAGAAAUGCACAAUGACCUAGAAAGGAACGACCGGACUUGGAACGGGGUCGGAGGCCUCGAAAGUUCACGUCUGGCUACUAGGUGGUCCAAUUUUGAGUGGUUUCAAAGUUUCUUUCCCACAAAAGCCGAACGGUGAUGCCCAGACUCGGUUUCUUGGUUCCGUCCCGAAAUGCCGAAAGAAAGGCACAAUGGCCUAGAAAGGAACGACCGGACAUGGAACGGGGUCGGAGGCCUCGAAAGUUCACGUCUGGCUACUGGGUGGUCCGAUUCUGAGUGGUCUCGAAGUUUCUUGCCCACAAAAGCCGAACGGUGAUGCCCAGACUCGGUUUCCUGGUUGUGUCCCAAAACGCCGAAAGAAAGGCACAAUGGCCUAGAAAGGAACGACCGGACUUAGAACGGGGUCGGAGGCCUCGAAAGUUCACGUCUGGCUACUCGGUGGUCCGAUUCUUAGUGGUCUCAAAAUUUCUUCCCACAAAAGCCGAACGCUGAUUUCCCAGACUCAGUUUCCUGGUUCCGUCCCAAAACGCCAAAAGAAAGGCACAAUGGCCUAGAAAGGAACGACCGGACUUAGAACGGGGUCGGAGGCCUCGAAAGUUCACGUCUUGCUACGUGGUGGUCCGAUUCUUAGUGGUCUCGAAAUUUCUUCCCAAAAAAGCCGAACGGUGAUGUCCCAGACUCGGUUUCCUGGUUUCGUCCCAAAACGCCGAAAGAAAGGGACAAUGGCCUAGAAAGGAAAGACCGGACUUAGAACGGGGUCGGAGGCCUCGAAAGUUCACGUCUUGCUACUUGGUGGUCCGAUUCUUAGUGGUCUCGAAAUUUCUUCCCACAAAAGCCGAACGGUGAUGUCCCAGACUCGGUUUCCUGGUUUCGUCCCAAAACGCCGAAAGAAAGGCACAAUGGCCUAGAAAGGAACGACCGGACUUGGAACGGGGUCGGAGGCCUCGAAAGUUCACGUCUAGCUACUGGGUGGUCCGAUUCUGAGUGGUCUCGAAGUUUCUUGGGCACAAAAGCCGAACGGUGAUGCCUUAGACUCGGUUUCCUCGUUCCGUCCCAAAACGCCGAAACAAAGGCACAAUGGCCUAAAAAGAAACGACCGGACUUAGAACGGGGUCAGAGGCCUCGAAAGUUCACGUCUGGCUACUGGGUGGUCCUAUUCUGAGUGGUCUCGAAGUUUCUUGCCCACAAAAGCCGAACUGUGAUGCCCCAGACUCGGUUUCUUGGUUGCCUCCCAAAACGCCGAAAGAAAGGCACAUUGGCCUAGAAAGGAACGACCGGACUUAGAAUGGGGUCAGAGGCCUCGAAAGUUCACGUCUGGCUAAUGGGUGGUCCUAUUCUUAGUGGUCUCGAAGUUUCUUGCCCACAAAAGCCGAACGGUGAUGCCCCAGACUCGAUUUCUUGGUUCUGUCCCAAAACGUCGAAAGAAAGGCACAAUGGCCUAGAAAGGAACGACCGGACUUAGAACGGGGUCGGAGGCCUCGAAAGUUCAUGUCUAGCUACUGGGUGGUCCGAUUCUGAGUGGUCUUGAAGUUUCUUGCCCACAAAAGCCGAACGGUGAUGCUCCAGACUGGGUUUCUUUGUUCCGUCCCAAAACACCAAAAGAAAGUCACAGUGGCUUGGAAAGGAACGACCGGACUUAGAACGGGGUCGGCGACCUCGAAAGUUCACGUCUAGCUACUGGGUGGUCUGAUUCUGAGUGGUCUCGAAGUUUCUUACCCACAAAAGCCGAACGGUGAUGCUCUAGACUCGAUUUCUUGGUUGGGUCCCAAAACGCAUAAAGAAAUGCACAGUGGCCUAGAAAGGAACGACCGGACUUAGAACGGGGUCGACAGCCUCGAAAGUUCACGUCUAGCUACUGGGUGGUCCGAUUCUGAGUGGUCCUGAAGUUUCUUGCCCACAAAAGUCGAACAGUGAUGCCCCAGACUCGGUUUCUUGGUUCCGUCCGAAAACGCCGAAAGAAAGGCACAGUGGCCUAGAAAGGAACGACCGGCUUAGAACGUGGUCAGCGGCCUCGAAAGUUCACGUCUAGCUACUGGGUGGUCUCGAAGUUUCUUGCCCAUAAAAACCAAACGGUGAUGCCCCAGACUCGGUUUCUUAGUUCGUCCAAAACGAAAGAAAGGCACAGUGGCCUGGAAAGGAACGACCGGACUUAGAACGGGGUCGGCGACCUCGAAAGUUCACGUCUAGCUACUGGGUGGUCCGAUUGUGAGUGGUCUUGAAGUUUCUUGCCCACAAAAGCCGAACGGUGAUGCCCAGACUGGGUUUCUUGGGUCCGUCCAAAACGCCGAAAGAAAGGCACAGUGGCCUAGAAAGGAACGACCGGACUUAGAACGGGGUCGGCAGCCUCGAAAGUUCACGUCUAGCUACUGGGUGGUCCGAUUCUGAGUGGUCUCAAAGUUUCUUGCCCACAAAAGCCGAACGGUGAUGCCCAGACUCGGUUUCUUGGUUGUCCCAAAACGCCGAAAGAAAGGCACAUGGCCUAGAAAGGAACGACCGGACUUAGAACGGGUCAGGCGACCUCGAAAGUUCACGUCUAGCUACUGGUGGUCCGAUUCUGAGUGGUCUCGAAGUUUCUUGCCCACAAAAGCCGAACGGUGAUGCCCAGACUCGGUUUCUUGGUUCCGUCCCAAAACGCCGAAAGAAAGGCACAGUGGCUAGAAAGGAACGACCGGACUUAGAACGGGGUCGGCGGCCUCGAAAGUUCACGUCUAGCUACUGGGUGGUCCGAUUCUGAGUGGUCUCGAAGUUUCUUGCCCACAAAAGCCGAACGGUGAUGCCCAGACUCGGUUUCUUGGUUCCGUCCCAAAACGCCGAAAGAAAGGCACAGUGCCUAGAAAGGAACGACCGGACUUAGAACGGGGUCAGGCCUCGAAAGUUCACGUCUAGCUACUGGUGGUCUCGAAAGUUUCUUGCCCACAAAAGCCGAACGGUGAUGCCCUAGACUCGGUUUCUUGGUUGCGUCCCAAAACGCCGAAAGAAAGGCACAGUGGCCUAGAAAGGAACGACCGGACUUAGAACGGGGUAGGCGACUCGAAAGUUCACGUCUAGCUACUGGGUGGUCCGAUUCUGAGUGGUCUCGAAGUUUCUUGCCCACAAAAGCCGAACGGUGAUGCCCAGACUCGGUUUCUUGGUUCCGUCCAAAACGCCGAAAGAAAGGCACAAUGGCCUGGAAAGGAACGACCGGACUUAGAACGGGGUCGGCGGCCUCGAAAGUUCACGUCUAGCUACUGGGUGGUCGAUUCUGAGUGGUCUCGAAGUUUCUUGCCCACAAAAGCCGAACGGUGAUGCCCAGACUCGGUUUCUUGGUUCCGUCCCAAAACGCCGAAAGAAAGGACAAUGGCCUAGAAAGGAACGACCGGACUUAGAACGGGGUCGGAGGCCUCGAAAGUUCACGUCUAGCUACUGGUGGUCGAUUCUGAGUGGUCUCGAAGUUUCUUGCCCACAAAAGCCGAACGGUGAUGCCCCAGACUCGGUUUCUUGGUUCCGUCCCAAAACUCCGAAAGAAAGGCACAAUGGCCUGAAAGGAACGACUCGACUUAGAACGGGUCGGCACCUCGAAAGUUCACGUCUAGCUACUGGGUGGUUCGAUUCUGAGUGGUCUCGAAGUUUCUUGCCCACAAAAGCCGAACGGUGAUGCCCCAGACUCGGUUUCUUGGUUCCGUCCCAAAACGCCGAAAGAAAGGCACAGUGCCUAGAAAGGAACGAUCGGACUUAGAACCGGGGUCAGGCCUCGAAAGUUCACGCUAGCUACUGGCGUGGUCUCGAAGUUUCUUGCCCACAAAAGCCGAACGGUGAUGCCCCAGACUCGGUUUCUUGGUUCCGACCCAAAACGCCGAAAGAAAGCCACGGUUGCCUGGAAAGGAACAACCGGACUGAGAACGGGGUCGGCGACCUCGAAAGUUCACGUCUAGCUACUGGGUGGUCCGAUUCUGAGUGGUCUCGAAGUUUCUUGCCCACAAAAGCCAAACGGGGAUGCUCCAGACUCGAUUUCUUGGUUGCGUCCCAAAACGCCGAAAGAAAGAAACAAUGGCCUAGAAAGGAACGACCAAACUUAGAACGGGGUCAGCGGCCUCGAAAGUUCACGUCUAGCUACUGGUUGGUCUCGAAGUUUCUUGCCCACAAAAGCCGAACGGUGAUGCCCCAGACUCGGUUUCUUAGUUGCGUCCCAAAAUGCCGAAAGAAAGGCACAGUGGCCUUGAAAGGAACGACCGGACUUAGAACGGGGUCGGGCGACCUCGAAAGUUCACGUCUAGCUACUGGGUGGUCCGACUCUGAGUGGUCUCGAAGUUUCUUGCCCACAAAAGCCGAACGGUGAUGCCCCCAGACUCGGUUUCUUGGUUCCGUCCCAAAACGCCGAAAGAAAGGCACAAUGGCCUGGAAAAGAACGACUCGACUUAGAACGGGGUCGGCGACCUCGAAAGUUCACGUCUAGCUACUGGGUGGUUCGAUUCUUAGUGGUCUCGAAGUUUCUUGCCCACAAAAGCCGAACGGUGAUGCCCCAGACUCGGUUUCUUGGUCUCGUCCCAAAACGCCGAAAGAAAGGCACAAUGGCCUGGAAAGGAACGACCGGACUUAGAACGGGGUCGGCGACCUCGAAAGUUCACGUCUAGCUACUGGGUGGUUCGAUUCUGAGUGGUCUCGAAAUUUCUUGCCCACAAAAGCCGAACGGUGAUGCCCCAGACUCGGUUUCUUGGUUCCGUCCCAAAACGCCGAAAGAAAGGCACAGUUGCCUAGAAAGGAACGACCGGACUUAGAACGGGGUCAGCGGCCUCGAAAGUUCACGGCUAGCUACUGGGUGGUCUCGAAGUUUCUUGCCCACAAAAGCCGAACGGUGAUGCCCCAGACUCGGUUUCUUGGUUCCGACCCAAAACGCCGAAAGAAAGCCAUAGUGGCCUGGAAAGGAACGACCGGACAGAGAACGGGGUCGGCGACCUUGAAAGUUCACGUCUAGCUACUGGGUGGUCCGAUUCUGAGUGGUCUCGAAGUUUCUUGCCCACAAAAGCCAAACGGGGAUGCUCCAGACUCGAUUUCUUGGUGGCGUCCCAAAACGCCGAAAGAAAGGCACAAUGGCCUAGAAAGCAACGACCAGACUUAGAACGGGGUCGGCGGCCUCGAAAGUUCACGUCUAGCUACUGUGUGGUCCGAUUCUGAGUGGUCUCGAAGUUUCUUGCCCACAAAAACCUAACGGUGAUGCCCCAGACUCGGUUUCUUGGUUCCGUCUCAAAACGCUGAAAGAAAGGCACAGUGGCCUGGAAAGGAACGACCAGACUUAGAACGGGGUCGGCGACCUCGAAAGUUCACGUCUAGCUACUGGGUGGUCCGAUUCUUAGUGGUCUCAAAGGUUCUUGCCCACAAAAGCUGAACGGUGAUGCCCCAGACUCGGUUUCUUGGUUGCGUCCCAAAUCGCCGAAAGAAAGACACAUUGGCCUAGAAAGGAACGACCGGGCUUAGAACGUGGUCAGCGGCCUUGAAAGUUCUCGUCUAGCUACUGGGUGGUCCGAUUCUGAGUGGUCUCGAAGUUUCUUGCCCACAAAAGCCGAACGGUGAUGCCCAAACUCGGUUUCUUGGUGCCGACCCAAAACACCGAAAGAAAGGCACAGUGGCCUAGAAAGGAACGACCGGACUUAGAACGGGGUCGGCGGCCUCGAAAGUUCACGUCUAGCUAUUGGGUGGUCCAAUUCUGAGUGGUCUCGAGGUUUCUUGCCCACAAAAGCCGAACGGUGAUGCCCCAGACUCGAUGUCUUGGUUCCGACCCAAAACGCCGAAAGAAAGGCACAGUGGCCUGGAAAGGAACGACCGGACUUAGAACGGGGUCGGAGGCCUCGAAAGUUCACAUCUAGCUACUUGGUGGUCUCGAAGUUUCUUGCCCACAAAAGCCAAACGGUGAUGCCCCAGACUCGAUUUCUUGGUUCCGUCCCAAAACGCCGAAAGAAAGGCACAAUGGCCCAGAAAGGAACGACCGGACUUAGAACAGGGUCGGAGGCCUCAAAAGUUCACGUCUAGCUACUGGGUGGUCCGAUUCUCAGUGGUCUCAAAGUUUCUUGCCCACAAAAGCCAAACGGUGAUGCCCUAGACUCGGUUUCUUGGUUCAUUUCAAUAAAGUUGUUAUUGAGAAAUUAAAUAUUAUAAUCUUAAAUCCAAUAAAUCAAGUUCCAAGGCUAUUUUUGAAUAAACUUGAACUUUAUGUGUAAACAUAAACGUGGAUCAAGUUCGAUAUAUAGCCUAAAUAGUCUAUAGUAUAUGAAAUAAAGGUUGGGCGCCUUAUUUAGAGAAACUAUGGAUGCGACCCACUUUGUAGUACAAACGAAGUGAUCCUAAUCGUUCAUGUAGAGACAUGAAAGUGGGGGCAUCCUAUGUAAAAUAUUUAGAUAAGACUGAACCAUGAAUUAGUCUUUUUUACGUUAUAACACCGUUUACAGUUUAAAACUGACUAUCUCAAUUAUUGAUGACCUAGGUAACUUAGUCUUAAUCCUGAGUUAACUAUGAACUCCUGUUCACACGAGAUUAUCCUUAGAUCUGCAUAGGUGAGGGCAGCUCAUCAGCGUUGGCCCAAUAAGCUUCCCAUUUCAGGGGUAACAUCAGGUGGAUAGCUGGGAACAUAGGGUACAAGAUGGAAUUCACUCCUACCCGCUUUUGGGUUAGUAGAUAGGUUGUUCUCUUAAGCACUGAAUCCAAGUCUUGAACAAGGGGCCCCACCCUCUCAUUGGCCCGAGAGGGAUUAAGUUUAUAGGUGAACCUUAAACCAAUUGUUCAAUAGUGGAUUAGUGGGACUUAAGGAGCAAGAUGUAAUCUUGGGGUAAAACGGUAUUUUGACCCAGCCAAGGUUACGAGCAACCUGUGAAGGAUUAACUUACUUAUUCUGGUUUUAUCAAAUGGACACAAAUAUAUCUAUAGUGAGGGGAGUGCAACUACGGGACUUUAGUGGAAUGACCCGUUAGUUAACGAAUGUUGAUUAACUCGGUUUAAAAGAGUUUAGCUAGUUAAUCUUGAAUCGUUGGAGCCCAUGAUCUAUAGGUCCAUUAGGUUCCUCUACUUGCACAUAUGGAUUAAACUUAGAACAGUGUGAUGAAAUAAAUUGGGAGAAGAAAGGGAAACCGACAAAUAUAGUGAUAUAGUCGUCGGUCUUCUAAUUAGAAAUAGAGCUUUAUGUUUUACAUACUAUAAGUAUGAAUGCGGAUUCAUACUAAGAAGCUCAGAAUUGAUGGAAUUGGUCAAAAACUAGUAAAAAGUCAAAAUGUUGACUUUUGACUUUGAAAAGUCAAACUUUGACCGGCCUUAUAUUCAAAUGUGUUUUGAAUAUUGGAAAAAUGAAUGCGGAUUCAUGCUCGGGAGGUUGGAAUUAGUCAAGACGGACAAAAUGGUAAAAAGUCAAAAUAUUGACUUUUGACUAAGAAAAGUAAAGUUUGACUUUUGACUAGAAAUAUCUAAUGACCAUUUUACCCUUGGACUAAGUUAGUGGGAAAAUCCAACAUUUUGUUGGAUAAUCCCACUAACUCUUAGUGGGAUAUGUGGCUAUAUGAGAUAUAGACACCUAGCCCACUAAGUUCCACUAAUUGUUAGUGGAACGGUAGGUGUUGAGAUUUGGCAAAUGAAUUGCAUGCAUUUUUGCAUGUAAUUAGGUUAUAAAUAGAGGUGUUUUCAAAUGUUGAAAAGACUUUUGCCUCUUUUAUCAUUUUCAUCAUCUCAACAAAAGAAAAAAAAACUUCCAAUCCCAUUUUAUCUCCAUUUCUUUCUACACCAAAAUUGGGUCCCACAACCCGGUUCUUUGUCUAGAGGAUAGCAGUUGAGUACUAGUGGUGGUCUCGGUUAGAAUUGGUAAGAAGAUAUCAAACCUUUUGAAAGCUUCAAAGGUAAUAUUUCUUAAAACCCUAAUUUGAUUAGUUUAUGGUUACAUGUUAAUUGUGGCAAUUAGGGUAGAAAUUCGAUUCUUUUUCCGCUGUGCAUGACUUAGUUCUUUCAUGUGGUAUCAGAGCAUGCUUCAUUUUUACCCAAUUGCAUGUGGUGGGUUCAUAUUCAUAUUUAUUAGAUAAAUUUUGGUUUGAACUAAAAUGGAUAUAUUAUGAUUUUGGCUCUAGAAAGUGUUUUUUGUUCUAAUUAUUGU